UACGUAGGGUGCAAGCGUUAAUCGGAAUUACUGGGCGUAAAGCGUGCGCAGGCGGCUUUGCAAGACAGAUGUGAAAUCCCCGGGCUUAACCUGGGAACUGCGCUUGUAACUGAUAGGCUUGAGUGUGGCAGAGGGGGGUGGAAUUCCAGGUGUAGCAGUGAAAUGCGUAGAGAUCUGGAGGAACACCGAUGGCGAAGGCAGCCCCCUGGGCUAACACUGACGCUCAUGCACGAAAGCGUGGGGAGCAAACAGG
Molecule: ribosomal RNA, 253 nt
Filed under: uncultured bacterium
Lineage: Bacteria
Description: partial 16S ribosomal RNA
Rfam family: Bacterial small subunit ribosomal RNA
Source: RNAcentral